RNAcentral lists this ribosomal RNA (116 nucleotides) under uncultured Cenococcum. RNAcentral's name for it is "partial 5.8S ribosomal RNA". It matches the Rfam family "5.8S ribosomal RNA", at positions 1 to 118 of the family's 154-position model. From Rfam's summary of the family: 5.8S ribosomal RNA (5.8S rRNA) is a component of the large subunit of the eukaryotic ribosome. It is transcribed by RNA polymerase I as part of the 45S precursor that also contains 18S and 28S rRNA. Lineage: Eukaryota; Fungi; Ascomycota; Dothideomycetes; Gloniales; Gloniaceae. The record is from RNAcentral.
AACUUUCACAACGGAUCUCUUGGUUCUGGCAUCGAUGAAGAACGCAGCGAAAUGCGAUAAGUAUGUGAAUUGCAGAAUUCAGUGAAUCAUCGAAUCUUUGAACGCACAUUGCGCCC